RNAcentral lists this ribosomal RNA (453 nucleotides) under Streptococcus mitis. RNAcentral's name for it is "bacterial SSU rRNA". It matches the Rfam family "Bacterial small subunit ribosomal RNA", at positions 28 to 467 of the family's 1533-position model. Lineage: Bacteria; Bacillati; Bacillota; Bacilli; Lactobacillales; Streptococcaceae. The record is from RNAcentral.
GACGAACGCUGGCGGCGUGCCUAAUACAUGCAAGUAGAACGCUGAAGGAGGAGCUUGCUUCUCCGGAUGAGUUGCGAACGGGUGAGUAACGCGUAGGUAACCUGCCUGGUAGCGGGGGAUAACUAUUGGAAACGAUAGCUAAUACCGCAUAAGAGUAGAUGUUGCAUGACAUUUGCUUAAAAGGUGCAAUUGCAUCACUACCAGAUGGACCUGCGUUGUAUUAGCUAGUUGGUGGGGUAACGGCUCACCAAGGCGACGAUACAUAGCCGACCUGAGAGGGUGAUCGGCCACACUGGGACUGAGACACGGCCCAGACUCCUACGGGAGGCAGCAGUAGGGAAUCUUCGGCAAUGGACGGAAGUCUGACCGAGCAACGCCGCGUGAGUGAAGAAGGUUUUCGGAUCGUAAAGCUCUGUUGUAAGAGAAGAACGAGUGUGAGAGUGGAAAGUUCAC